GCUGGGCGCUGUGGCGCGCGCCUGUAAUCCCAGCUUCCUGGGAGGCUAAGAUCGGCGGAUCAUGGGUGUUCGGGACUACGGUGUUGUGUGAAGUGGGCGUCUGCACCGGGCCUGGCACCAACAUGGGGUUACCAGGGGAGCCCGGGGGUACCAGGUUGUCUAAGGAGGGGGGGACCCAGCCCAGGCUGGACACGGAGCAGGUCAAAAGCUACACUAAAAUAUCUUUCACCUAUAAGUUGGACCAUGGCACAUCUUCUCCAAUAUU
Molecule: signal recognition particle RNA, 265 nt
Filed under: Castor canadensis (American beaver)
Lineage: Eukaryota; Metazoa; Chordata; Mammalia; Rodentia; Castoridae
Description: Metazoan signal recognition particle RNA (ENSCCNG00000012120.1)
Rfam family: Metazoan signal recognition particle RNA
About the family: The signal recognition particle (SRP) is a universally conserved ribonucleoprotein. It is involved in the co-translational targeting of proteins to membranes.
Source: RNAcentral